CACCUCCCAUGCAGGUCAAAUUUGUGCAGUCUCUUUCUGAUUGUAGAAGCAUGCACUUUGACACCAACAGUUGCAAGAUGCUGUGAUGAAAUUUUGGGUUUCUUUGAGACUUCUUUUUGCAUCAGAUGGUCUGCUCUUGGGCUGAAUUUGCUGGGACGGCAAGGAUGUUAGGGCAGAUUUCAACUAGGCUAUAUCAAUAUUUUAGAUCAGACUCCAACCAGGUUGAAAAAGUAUGUUGGAUCAGAUCCCAACUAGGCUAUAUGUGAAUGCUAGAUCAGAUUCCAGCCAGGUUGAAAAAGGAUGUUGGAUCGGAUCCCAACUAGGCUAUAUGUGAAUGCUAGAUCAGACUCCAACCAGGUUGAAAAAGGAUGUUCGAUCUGAUCCCUGCAAGUUAUACUAGAAUGUUAGGUAAG
Ictalurus punctatus (channel catfish) is the source of this 413-nucleotide long non-coding RNA. Lineage: Eukaryota; Metazoa; Chordata; Actinopteri; Siluriformes; Ictaluridae. The record is from Ensembl.